Long non-coding RNA from Cimex lectularius (bed bug), 957 nucleotides. RefSeq lists it as uncharacterized. The record is from RefSeq and is a predicted model, not a curated record. NCBI's taxonomy places the organism in Eukaryota, Metazoa, Arthropoda, Insecta, Hemiptera, Cimicidae. The transcript is spliced from 2 exons.
UCAGCUAUAUCCAAAACGUAAAUUUAAGUUUUACACCUGGUGCCCUAAUUAGUUCAUUAAAGUUCAAACUGAUGUCCAAUAUGCAAGUUCAUAGGGCUUGGUCUUCAAUCGACUCACAGGACGAUUAUGAAGGUGCGGUGUCAUCAAUCACUGGUGUAAAGCAAAUACAGAAUAGGUCCUAGUACGCUUCCCUGGGAAACACCAGCCUUUAUUUUUGAAAAUGAUUAGGAAAUGUUGAACUACAGUUAUAAAUGGACAAAUUCUACCAUUGGCUGAAGAACCCUCCUCACAGAAUCAGUGGAUUAUCUAACUUAUUAGAAACAUGAAUAAUUUGUAUAAUUUUUGAGGUUAACUUGUAAGGUUCACUAACAACUACUUUCAUAAAUAUCUGUUCUCAAUUAAUCAACUGUGUGGUUUUUUUGUUUCUAAAAUUAAUCUGUACAGACUCUGUCAUGGUACAUUUGAAUGACUCACGAUGUAGAGCCUUUCUGGGUAUUUUGGCCAUCAGCUUUUCCUUCAUCCGUAGACCUAACCUAUUUGCCAUUUUUCAAAAGAAAAGAAAAUGCUAGAUCCACACCUCCAAAUCAUCUCUCUCGUUUUCUUUAAUGUAUGUAACAUUUAUUUUUACAUUAUUUCUUAGGAAUUAAAUUUUAUUUCAAAAUUAGAAACCAAUGUCGCUAAAUUCUAACAAUAAUUAAUUUUGCCACUUUGCUUGUUUUUUGUCCUCUGUUAUUCAUGUUUAUUAACUCUGAUAUAAUUAUUAUAAACAAUUAUGGAAUAAAUAAACAAAAGAGGAAGAUUCAUUGCUCUGUAACUCAUUUAUUUUUAUUUUCCAAUCUUUUGUAACCAAAACGUAUUAAAAUUGUCACAACUCAUUAGGCAAUUAGUAUAAUAUCAAUCUUGAUAAUUACAAAUGUACAACACUAAGGAAAAAUCCAGUAAGACAAGAAAUAAAAA